UCCGUAGGCGGUGUGGCAAGUCGGAAGUGAAAUCUCUGGGCUUAACUCAGAGGCUGCUUCCGAAACUGCCGUGCUAGAGUGCGAGAGAGGCAAGUGGAAUUGCGGGUGUAGCGGUGAAAUGCGUGGAUAUCCGCAGGAACAUCCGAGGCGAAAGCGGCUUGCUGGAUCGCAACUGACGCUGAGGGACGAAAGCUAGGGGAGCAAACAGGAUUAGAUACCCUGGUAGUCCUAGCCCUAAACCAUCAGGACUUGGGGUUUGCCCUGUACGGGGCAAGUCCCGUAGCUAACGCGUUAAGUCCUGCGCCUGGGGAGUACGGUCGCAAGGCUGAA
This 330-nucleotide ribosomal RNA is filed under the name uncultured bacterium. Its description in RNAcentral is "bacterial SSU rRNA". It matches the Rfam family "Bacterial small subunit ribosomal RNA", at positions 568 to 898 of the family's 1533-position model. The record is from RNAcentral.